RNAcentral lists this ribosomal RNA (676 nucleotides) under uncultured beta proteobacterium. RNAcentral's name for it is "bacterial SSU rRNA". It matches the Rfam family "Bacterial small subunit ribosomal RNA", at positions 46 to 719 of the family's 1533-position model. Lineage: Bacteria; Pseudomonadati; Pseudomonadota; Betaproteobacteria. The record is from RNAcentral.
GCCUUACACAUGCAAGUCGAACGUCGACAGUUCUUCGGAUGCUGACGAGUGGCGAACGGGUGAGUAAUACAUCGGAACGUGCCCGAGAGUGGGGGAUAACGAAGCGAAAGCUUUGCUAAUACCGCAUACGAUCUCAGGAUGAAAGCAGGGGACCGCAAGGCCUUGCGCUCACGGAGCGGCCGAUGGCAGAUUAGGUAGUUGGUGGGAUAAAAGCUUACCAAGCCGACGAUCUGUAGCUGGUCUGAGAGGACGACCAGCCACACUGGGACUGAGACACGGCCCAGACUCCUACGGGAGGCAGCAGUGGGGAAUUUUGGACAAUGGGCGCAAGCCUGAUCCAGCCAUGCCGCGUGCAGGAUGAAGGCCUUCGGGUUGUAAACUGCUUUUGUACGGAACGAAAAGACUCUGGUUAAUACCUGGGGUCCAUGACGGUACCGUAAGAAUAAGCACCGGCUAACUACGUGCCAGCAGCCGCGGUAAUACGUAGGGUGCGAGCGUUAAUCGGAAUUACUGGGCGUAAAGCGUGCGCAGGCGGUUAUGUAAGACAGAUGUGAAAUCCCCGGGCUCAACCUGGGAACUGCAUUUGUGACUGCAUAGCUAGAGUACGGCAGAGGGGGAUGGAAUUCCGCGUGUAGCAGUGAAAUGCGUAGAUAUGCGGAGGAACACCGAUGGCGAA